Molecule: non-coding RNA, 72 nt
Organism: Doryrhamphus excisus (bluestripe pipefish)
Lineage: Eukaryota; Metazoa; Chordata; Actinopteri; Syngnathiformes; Syngnathidae
Source: the annotation of a RefSeq genome assembly
GGUGCAGUGGCCAAGUGGGAAGGCGUCGGUCUUGUAAACCGAAGAUCAUGGGUUCGACCCCCAUCUGUGCCU